AGUGAACGCUGGCGGUAGGCCUAACACAUGCAAGUCGAACGGCAGCACAGUAAGAGCUUGCUCUUACGGGUGGCGAGUGGCGGACGGGUGAGGAAUACAUCGGAAUCUACUUUUUCUUGGGGGAUAACGUGGGGAAACUUACGCUAAUACCUCAUACGACCUACGGGUGAAAGCAGAGGAUCUUCGGACCUUUCGCGAUUGAAUGAGCCGAUGUCGGAUUAGCUAGUUGGCGGGGUAAAGGCCCACCAAGGCGACGAUCCGUAGCUGGUCUGAGAGGAUGAUCAGCCACACUGGAACUGAGACACGGUCCAGACUCCUACGGGAGGCAGCAGUGGGGAAUAUUGGACAAUGGGCGCAAGCCUGAUCCAGCCAUACCGCGUGGGUGAAGAAGGCCUUCGGGUUGUAAAGCCCUUUUGUUGGGAAAGAAAAGCAGCAGGUUAAUACCCCGCUGUUCUGACGGUACCCAAAGAAUAAGCACCGGCUAACUUCGUG
RNAcentral lists this ribosomal RNA (492 nucleotides) under uncultured bacterium. RNAcentral describes it as "partial 16S ribosomal RNA". It matches the Rfam family "Bacterial small subunit ribosomal RNA", at positions 29 to 507 of the family's 1533-position model. The record is from RNAcentral.